CCUACGGGAGGCUGCAGUGGGGAAUAUUGGGCAAUGGGCGCAAGCCUGACCCAGCAACGCCGCGUGAGGGAAGAAGGCUUUCGGGUUGUAAACUCCUUUUGUCAGGGACGAAGCAAGUGACGGUAGCUGCCGAAUAAGCCACGGCUAACUACGUGCCAGCAGCCGCGGUAAUACGGAGGUGGCAAGCGUUAUCCGGAUUUACUGGGUGUAAAGGGCGUGUAGGCGGGGAAGCAAGUCAGAUGUGAAAACCACGGGCUCAACCUGUGGCCUGCAUUUGAAACUGUUCUGCUUGAGUGCUGGAGAGGCAAGCGGAAUUCCUGGUGUAGCGGUGAAAUGCGUAGAUAUACGGAGGAACACCAGUGGCGAAGGCGGAUUGCUGGACAGUAACUGACGCUGAGGCGCGAAAGCGUGGGGAGCAAACAGGAUUAGAUACCCUGGUAGUC
RNAcentral lists this ribosomal RNA (443 nucleotides) under uncultured bacterium. RNAcentral's name for it is "partial 16S ribosomal RNA". It matches the Rfam family "Bacterial small subunit ribosomal RNA", at positions 338 to 795 of the family's 1533-position model. The record is from RNAcentral.